RNAcentral lists this ribosomal RNA (497 nucleotides) under uncultured bacterium. RNAcentral's name for it is "partial 16S ribosomal RNA". It matches the Rfam family "Bacterial small subunit ribosomal RNA", at positions 28 to 507 of the family's 1533-position model. The record is from RNAcentral.
GAUGAACGCUGGCGGCGUGCCUAAUACAUGCAAGUCGAGCGAACAGACGAGGAGCUUGCUCCUCUGACGUUAGCGGCGGACGGGUGAGUAACACGUGGAUAACCUACCUAUAAGACUGGGAUAACUUCGGGAAACCGGAGCUAAUACCGGAUAAUAUAUUGAACCGCAUGGUUCAAUAGUGAAAGACGGUUUUGCUGUCACUUAUAGAUGGAUCCGCGCCGCAUUAGCUAGUUGGUAAGGUAACGGCUUACCAAGGCUACGAUGCGUAGCCGACCUGAGAGGGUGAUCGGCCACCCUGGAACUAGACCACGGUCCAGACUCCUACGGGAGGCAGCAGUAGGGAAUCUUCCGCAAUGGGCGAAAGCCUGACGGAGCAACGCCGCGUGAGUGAUGAAGGUCUUCGGAUCGUAAAACUCUGUUAUUAGGGAAGAACAAAUGUGUAAGUAACUAUGCACGUCUUGACGGUACCUAAUCAGAAAGCCACGGCUAACUACGUG